Long non-coding RNA from Salvelinus fontinalis (brook trout), 1332 nucleotides. RefSeq lists it as uncharacterized. The record is from RefSeq and is a predicted model, not a curated record. Lineage: Eukaryota; Metazoa; Chordata; Actinopteri; Salmoniformes; Salmonidae. The transcript is spliced from 4 exons.
CACGGAGAUGGGAGACUUCGUUAACAUGGCGUUCCGGCCGCUUCCAGUCCGGUAGGACAGAUGAUUCGGCUAUUCUCGUCCAAUUACGAUAGAGAUUCCCACAUCUGGGGAAUUCGAGGGAUCAGCUCGUCCAGAGUGCAAUGACCGAACCUCGCCCUGGGUGAAUCUCCUUCGUGAUCAAGGUGUCUCCCCUGCCAGGUGGACAUGGUGUUGAUGUUUGGAUCAUCUGAAGUGGCAGAGAGAUGCAAGUCGUUCUGGGACUGACCGCCAGAUCCUUUGCCUGGAUCUUGUGGUAAAUUAGCUCCUCGUCCCUCCUCUCCUCCUGGGGUACGGUGAUGUUGGCCAGGGUGGUCUCAAAGUCCACAAUUUCCUGCAUAAGCGAUCUGGACGUCUCCUGUGAGCCCCCCAACAGGACCCCUAACUCCACCAGGAAGUCUAGGUCCUGGAUGGAUGGAAGCUUGGUCCCACUGAUGCCGAGCAGUUGCCAUACCAGGCGGUGAUGCAACCGGUCAGGAUGCUCUCGAUGGUGCAGCUGUAGAACUUUUUGAGGAUCUGGGGACCCAUGCAAAAUCUUUUCAGUCUCCUGAGGGGGAAAGGUGUUGUUGUGCCUUUUUCACGGCUGUAUUGGUGUGUUUGGACCAUUAUAGUUUAUUGGUGAUGUGGAGACAAAGGAACUUGAAACUCUCGACCCGCUCCGCAUCAUCUGACCACUUCCAUAUUGAGCGAGUCAUUGGUACUUCCUGCUUUAAUUUUAGCUUGUAAGCAGGAAUCAUGUGUAAGGGGAGCGUGUGUUUGUGCAAGUAUUUGGGUAUGUGUUUCUGGGAUGUGGGCAUGCAUGGCUAGGACCACAAUUUGCUAAGAAUUCUAAGUUUCACAAGGCAAAAUGUCUAUGGAUUAUGACAGAAGAUUAUGCGGUUUUGUUCCACGGCUGACAUUGGCAUCUUGUUCAUUUGGCGUAAACAUAGCUAUCCCUGGAUUGCAAAAAACAAAGAAGAUUAUUCUCUCCAUCUAUUACAUUAAUUUCAUGACUGACAAAUGAGUAACAGAUUUCCUUCAAUCUCCUUAACCUUUUACACUCGUACCUGGGUUGGAAAUGGCAAAUCUGGGUACUGAUAAGUGCUUUAAUUGUAUGGGUUUUGACUGACAGUUGUUCUGAACUUGAGCACAGCACGCAACAAGAAGUUGCCCCCAUCCCUCCCACUAAUUGGGCAACGUUUGAAAAUGCUUUGUUGUCUGGAGUGAAGGAAAUGCUGUAAAUUAAGAGGACUCUGUAUUUUGAAAGAUGAGAAGUUGAGGAUUAUAUUAAAUACCGCUUUGAUGUCAUACAAGCAA